CUCUUUGUUUCAUGCAAAAAGUGCAGUUUUGCUGACAUGACGCUCAAUAAAUGUGCAUGACAUCCUGGUAAAACCCCCACUGAGACUGGCCUAAGCGGGCUAUAAAGCCUCUCUUUCUCCCCUUCUUGCUCCUCCACUUUGUAUUUAAGUCAACUUAAUUAUGUCCUACUUCUUCCGUCCACGAAAGAAUUAUUUUCUAGAAUCCGUGGCAGUCAAACUUUUUUAAGUUUGACUAACUUUAUAUAUAGGAGUAACAACAUCUAUGACAUAACAUGCACAUCAUAUAAAAAUAUAUUCUAUGAUGAAUUUAAUGAUACUAAUUUGAUACCGUAAAUCUUAGUAUCUUUUUAAAAUAUAUUCUAUGAUAAAUUUAAUAAUACUAAUUUGAUACCGUAAAUCUUAAUAUCUUUUUCUAGAAAUUUGGUCAAAGUUUAAAAGUUUGACUUAAGACAAUUCUAGAAAUUGAUUGAGAGUAUUAUUAAUACUGCUCAUGUAACUACUCGGUAUGCUACUUCUCACCUAUGCCUUGUUUAGAUGCGAAAAUUUUUUAGAUUUCGCUACCGUAGCAUUUUCGUUUGUUUGUGGACAGUGGCGGAGGGAGGGGGGGCUGAGGGAGGCCUGGCGCCCCCCAACCUUCCCAUAACUCCCUUAAUACACCUCAUAGAUUAGAUGUUUAAUUAUCUAAUUAGCUAGUUAAUGAUAUUAUCCGUACUAAGAUUUUUAUUUUUAUUUCAUAUUAAUCUCUAAUAGUUUCUUAUAAAAAUAGAAUCUAGAUCUUUCUAAUAUUUUUUCAUAUCUUUUAUUUUUAUUAUUGCCUAUCAAACAUCAGUUUGUCCUCUACCACACACUCUAAUUAGCUAGUUAAUUGAAAGUCAGCGUUUUUCUUGUUUAAUCCUUCUGAAUUGAUCUCCAACAAUGGGAUCUAUAUUAUUUAGCAUUAGUCUUCCAAUUAUCUUUCUUAUCUCUAUGCUUCUAUCAUUAUUCAUCUAAACUCUAAACGGUCAUUUAGCCCGUUGUACUCAACUUUUAAACACUAACAGUGGUAUGGUGUUUCUGUUUAACCUUCUAUUUAAAUGACCAUUUUACUUGUUUAAGUGAUCGUUUUGUCUUAAGACUAAAUGAUAUGUAACUGAUUGUUUGUCAUUUGAUGUUAGGAUCUAGUACUAAUUAAUUUUGCCCCCGUUUAACUACUUGUUUUUAUUGUGAUUCUUUUUCUAGGUAAAGAAAUAGAAUGAUCAGGUGAAGGUUAGAGGCAUAAGACUAGUUAAAUUUCUCUUUUUUUUUGUUUUUCUGCUUUUUUUUGCAUUACAAUGCAAACGUUUAUUUUGGUGCUAUGUACAACUUUAUCAUGUAAUAUUUUGACACACAUGAUUGUUCUUGGUUUGCACGGCCCCUCCUAUGUUCAAAUCUUGGCUCUGCCCCUGUUUGUGGCAAAUAUUGUCAACUCAUGGUCUAACUAGGAUCAAAAGAUUUGUCUCGUGAUUUACAGCCAAACUAAAUAAGACCUAGUUAGUUCAUAAUUAGACAAUAUUUAUCAAAUAAAAACGAAAAUACUACUAUCCCUAUUUUGCAAAAAUUUUUGGAACUAAACAGGGCCUAGGUAGGAGUAGAUGAGCCGAGACGGACGGGGAAUUGGGCGACCGUUGUCCCGGAGGGUUCGGUGUCCGGUCCCCGCGCGGGCAGGCGAGGAGCUGACAGCUGAGGUCGACCACGCCACGCCACGUCACGUCGGGAUGACGUCGGCGAUGCAAGCUCUCUGGAUCGACCAAUGGAUCCAUCUCGGACGGGUGGACGACGCGACGGCGGCUUUUGCUGGGGGGGCCGGGGCCGACAGCGACAGCCUUGUGGCGCGGGCCGUCGGGGCACCGCCGCACGGCACGACGGCGCUGGCGGCCCCCAUCUGC
RNAcentral lists this long non-coding RNA (1904 nucleotides) under Sorghum bicolor (sorghum). Its description in RNAcentral is "long non-coding RNA (SBIC_LNC007136)". Lineage: Eukaryota; Viridiplantae; Streptophyta; Magnoliopsida; Poales; Poaceae. The record is from RNAcentral.